GACUGCGUGAGGCAGUCACGUAGUUGGGGACUAGGUGAAACGGGUUCGUGAGACAAGGAUCGGUCGGUAGUCCUGCAGUUAGGUGGCUUCUCCCUGUCGAUGGGUAUUGUGGGUGCAUUGACUUAUCGACCAGGCUAGGAAGCAUGGUUCUGUCCUACGAUGGAUUGCGGUUACGUCUGUUGUUCCGGUAACGAGGCUCCCCCUUUGCCCGCCCACGCGUCCGCCGCCAACGGUUCCCUGUCCGUCUUUGUCGUUUGAACGCGUCUACCGACGUUCGAAUGCACGUCAUUACCUGUCAACGCCGGGAUACCGUCGAUGUCUCUGAUAAGGAGCAACGGGGACGGAGAAAACUGGAGAGAACCUUCUCGAGACGCGUCGAUCCGGUGAAUCCCACGUCGGACGACGGGAUGACGUCCUUCAAUUUACGACGUGCUCGUACAGUCCAUGAUCUUCGCUUCUUCGAGUCUCCUCUGUCUCACUGUGCUACAUUCGACGUGGGGCGACGCGGCUUUUAAGGCUUUCUCACUCGGGUUCGAAUGCACGUCAUUACCUGCCGUCAACGCUAGGAUAUGUUGGACAUAUCUAAGAGGGAGGAUGACGUAUGUGGAAAGGGUGAGCAAGGAGGACUCCAGAAGAUCCGCACUGACAGGAUUCUGUAAAUAAGACAGCACGCAAGAGAUAAUGGAUGCCAUCGGUACAUGAUGGAUGCAGAACUAUACGGUGUGAGAUGUUGCAACUCGAUGUCACAAGAUAUGGACGACGGUAAUUUUCUUGCCAGAUCGCACGCAAUAAACUUCCUAUUUCGUCGAAAAUGAUCGUGCAUUUGUUAAGCCGAUAAAAAUUUUUAAACGUAAUGAAUAGCGUGCUAGCCACGAGGUAUUUGUAUAAUUUUAUGAUGGGUACUUAGUUUGAUGUGAGCUAUGAUGAUAAAACUUCGUAUAGAAGAAUCCGCAGCAGAGUAUCGGAGAACAGUGAUAAAAGUAAGUUAAGUAGAUUUUGUUAACGACGAGGUUCAAGUACAAUAUUAUAUUUUCUAAAGAAACUUUACCGGUCAUCGAACUUUUGUUAACAACUUCGUCAAGGAGAAACGUUUAUUUUCACCAAUUACCUAGGCCAACGAAAGAGAGUCUAUAAUAAUCUUUGUCUCGAAUGUCACGUAUUACGGCCGAAUACAGAUAAUACAAUGAAAAAUUCGAAAAAAUACACGACAUACUUUCGACCAUCUCGAGGAAGGAAUUUGAUUCGAAGGUCAGAAGCAUUUCUCUUCCCGUAUUCGCCAUGAUGCUAGAUAAAAUAGAGAAUGCUGCUUAUUUUUCUUCAUUCUGUAAUCUUUUCCGCGACCUUACAGCCUCGCAGUCGACGAAUGGCAGACGCGCGCGAACCAAGGAUACCGCGAUUCUGUGAUCGGAAUCGGCAGGCGCCGAGAUGACGGUCGCGAAGAAAUUGCUGAGAAAAUAGAAAGAGAAGAACGGCGAUAUUGAUGGAGAGCAAGUCUCGAUGGUAGCAGUGGGAGGAUUGUAUUUUUACCUUGACGACAGCGGAAAAUGAGAAAUAGCGGAGGGCCAACAGAAGAACGCUCUACCAUUCCUAUGCAUACCUCUACUUUUACCACGCCGACUAUGCAACCAGAGUAUUCCUCGAUCGUGAAAAUAGACCAAUCUUAUCGUGUAUGAAAUGUUCGGAAUAAUCGGACUGUGGAUAUUCAUUCGUUCGUGAGGAUUUAAGACGUGUAACAAUGUAGAGAAUCUGUACGAUAUAUAGAAAUUUACAAAAUAUUUAAAGUUAAAUGUUUCAUAAAAAUGUGAAUAAAUAUCCGCAGUCUAGUGACAACGCCAUAGAUCGAACCGAUGCGACAGUACUUUCUCUGCGAGCAAAGGAAAGAAUUAAAUCAGUAUCCGUUAGAAUUUUUCGAGAGAGCGAAGGCAAUGGUGUUAAAGGACACCGUGCGACAAAAGAGCUGUUAGGCUGAUGGAUGUCAUUGGCAGUGGAAAUGGAACAGCGUUGUCAGACCGUGGAGAGUUCCUCUGGAUUAUGUUCGUCUUUGAGAACGUUUCUCAACCUGAUAGAGGAUGAACGGAUUUGAAGGAUACUUUAGAGAUAUUGAUUUGAUUAAAAACGUGUCUGGGUUCGUCAUUCUCGAGAUUAAGAAAAUAAGCAAGCAAUUUUUCUAACACAAAAUAUCAUAUUUUGGAAGUAGAAACUUCAGACAGCGUCGAUUUUAGACCAAUCAUUCAAAAACCAGAUGACUCACGCAACAGAAUAUCACGUAACGUGACUCACUGGGUGACCCACAUUGCAUUAGACACGUCGAACGACACGUAAUCAAUCACGUUCGGUAGAAAAGAAUCUGCCAUUCAAAAGAUUACGCAACUUCGUCCUACGCUGUCGCGUGACGCUUUGCUUUUUCCACCUAACGGCAAAAAAAUUAAGAAAAGAAGAUUCAAAAGCACAUUCUCGUUUCAGUAACGCGUCUUAUUGCAAUAACGCUUUGCUAUCUGGUUAAACGUUUGUUAGGUAAAUUAUGGAUUUUAUAUUUCACGUACGUAACUCGCUUGAUGGUGAUUAGCUCCGAGAAAUUAACUCUAAAAAUCGACAAAGAUAGCGAUGCUGGUUGACCGAUAAAAUCGCAGCCAAUUGAUGCAACACUAGCGUCAUACUUCUGGUAACAGCGCCGAACAAUAUUGUACAUCCACGUGGACAUUUUUAUAACGGAACGAUGUCUAGUCGCCGCUCCGUCUUCCUGAAAUAUCAUCGUCGUGAAAAGAAGAAGCCUUUGGAGCGUGCGAAAAGAGAUUGGUCCGGCUGUGGUGCUCCAACCACGUGUACGUGUGUUACGUGUAGGCGUGCAUCGAAUGCAAAUCGAUACGUGGAAGAGAAAGCGGAUCGAACGAAGAGAGCUCGUCGAGACGGACAGUGGAACGAGAUCGUAAUGGCGAAAGGAAAUGGUCCAAGCAGAUGCGAUGUUUGCCAGCCGCCCUUAGCUCGAUUCACGCCACUGCCCCUUUCACGGUGUUUCCAAGCCCGGGGGAUCAUUCGAUCGCCGACAGAGGCCAAAGCGUUCGGAAAAUCUAUCGUUGAUCGUUUUUGGACCCGGCCACCGCUCGAUUUCACAUCAAGGAAAUGAGUUUCCUCGCGCCCGAUCCGUGAGACCGUCGAUUUCUAGCGUUCGCCACCAUUUCACUCUUGCCGAACGGAAAAAUGGCGCGGAACAUUUUCGAUCUACGUUCUUACGAAUGUGUCUCUCCGCGUAUCUUGAACAAAUAUUGCUCGUCGUCACGAUUCCUUUCUAGCGUCCAUCGAAUCGUAUCUUUUUACUGCGAUUCUAAAUAUUAUUGACCAUGUUACAUUGAACGUUCUUUCGCUUAUCGUUGUGAGGGAAAAUUGCGGUUAGGUUGAUUGGAAACUGUGUAUAAAUGAGAUCGAAAAUGUUAUAAUACAGAACGGAGAAACUAGGCCUUUGAUUCGUUACAAAACACAUUUCUUUGAAAAUUAUUAACCGUACGGCGUUGUUUCAACAAGUUACUUUGAAAGCAGCCAAGCUUGAAAUUCUGAAUCCGCUGAGUUAGCUUUAACGCUAAACAGAAUCGUGAAAUAUCGUUCUCGUGUAAAGCGCAACAUAAUCAAUUGAUUAUCGCCAAAUAUUCAGGGUAUUUCGCGUAAUCUACAGUACACAGACUUUUAGUCGACGGGUUUUAUUUUCGCGUUACCUUAGCCGGUAACGUUAUUACGAUCGUCAAAGCGGUAUUAAAGGUUUUACGACGCGAGGCAGGAACAGGGGCAACUGUAGAGGAGAGAAAUUGAGAAAAAAGUAGGAAACCAUCGAAUCGAAUUGUUGGCAAGCUGCCAAUAUACCGAUAUUUCGAGUACGCACGCUGAUUGAAGCACGAGAGGCCGUUAUCAUACAUUAUGCGUGAAUUCUGAUUAAUACAUGCGCUGUUUGCCAUUCAAUCUACCGAAUUUAUCCAUUAGAGCGAAUAGAAUUUUUCGUGGAAUGACUCGUGCGUAUUUGCCAGAAUCUCCAUGAAGAAAAAAAGGAAACAUCGAUUGUAUCGUCGAUCGUGAAUAAAGCGAGGGCGUAAUAUUGUGUUAAUGAGAAGAAGGAUAAAAUAAAAUAAAAUAAAAUAAAAGAGGGCCGCAGGAUGAAAAAUACAAAGAACGAUCCUUGACAAGUUCGAAUGGAAAGAGAGAAAAUACAUUUUCAGGCACAAAGCGUGAAGGCUAGUUAAACAAACGCCAGGGAAAAUAACAGGUUGAAAUUUAUGUUCGAAAUAACCGAUCCUUUGGGAUUUAUUUAGCAGCGAAUUACAAAUUCGUAAUUAAAGGUUGUACGCUCGCAAGCAGGAAAAAUUUUAAUGGAAAUGCUUCUUAACAAAACGUUUACGCCACGCUUUUAUAGAUCAUACGGACUUAUAAUUGAAUAAAUCAAACGAAACGGUUGUUUUCUCAGAAACUUUCAAACGUUACUACAGAAUGUUGUUAUAACAAAAUUCUCCAAAAGAUGUAAUUUAAAUAAUUAAAUGAAAUAAUUCCAGAGAGACCAGGUUAAUUUCAAAUUAUUUUAGUAUAUGCUUUGUAUUUUCCAUUGAAAUUAACGUUAUUGAAUACAUUUUACAAUGUU
Molecule: long non-coding RNA, 4618 nt
Organism: Bombus terrestris (buff-tailed bumblebee)
Lineage: Eukaryota; Metazoa; Arthropoda; Insecta; Hymenoptera; Apidae
Exons: 2
Source: RefSeq, a predicted model, not a curated record